UCAAUUUUAUAGUGUGUGAUUUUAUUCUAUUGCAUACAUCCAGAAUGAAAAUGUAUCUGAUUUUAUUGCCAAUCCUGGCAGUCCAGUUUCAUGGGUUGACAGCAGAUUCUGCGUCUGUGACUCAGUCUCCUGCCGUGAAGUCUGCUGCUUUGGGGUCGACGGUCUCUCUGAGCUGUACAGCCAGUAGAGGAGUUGAUGAUGAUCUGAGUUGGUACCUGCAGAAACCUGGACAGCCUCCCAAGCUGCUGUUUUAUAAAAUCAACAGCCGUCAAUCUGCUCCGAGUCAUUUCAGCAGCAGUGGAUCAGAGCCUCAGUUCACCCUGACAAUCACUGGAGUUCAGGCUGAAGAUGCAGGAGAUUAUUACUGUAUGGGUGCAUAUCUAGGCCCAGUAAACACACAGUGGUACAGAGUCGUACAAAAACCUCCCUCAGAUCAGACAGAUGGGUUGCAGACUGGCACGCACCACUGA
This is a non-coding RNA of Girardinichthys multiradiatus, 470 nucleotides long. The record is from the annotation of a RefSeq genome assembly. NCBI's taxonomy places the organism in Eukaryota, Metazoa, Chordata, Actinopteri, Cyprinodontiformes, Goodeidae.